UACAUGGGGUGCAAACGUUGCUCGGAAUUAUUGGGCGUAAAGCGCACGUAGGCGGUUCGUUAAGUCGGAUGUGAAAGCCCUCGGCUCAACUGAGGAAGUGCACCCGAAACUGGCGAGCUUGAGUACGAAAGAGGAUCGCGGAAUUCCCGGUGUAGAGGUGAAAUGCGCAGAUAUCAGGAAGAACACCGGUGGCGAAGGCGGCCUGCUGGGCUAUGGCUGACACUGAGGCGCGACAGCGUGGGGAGCAAACAGG
This 253-nucleotide ribosomal RNA is filed under the name uncultured bacterium. RNAcentral's name for it is "partial 16S ribosomal RNA". It matches the Rfam family "Bacterial small subunit ribosomal RNA", at positions 524 to 776 of the family's 1533-position model. The record is from RNAcentral.